This 301-nucleotide ribosomal RNA is filed under the name uncultured bacterium. RNAcentral describes it as "partial 16S ribosomal RNA". It matches the Rfam family "Bacterial small subunit ribosomal RNA", at positions 509 to 807 of the family's 1533-position model. The record is from RNAcentral.
CAGCCGCCGCGGUAAUACGAAGGGUGCAAGCGUUACUCGGAAUUACUGGGCGUAAAGCGUGCGUAGGUGGUGGUUUAAGUCCGUUGUGAAAGCCCUGGGCUCAACCUGGGAAUUGCAGUGGAUACUGGAUCACUAGAGUGUGGUAGAGGAUAGUGGAAUUUCCGGUGUAGCAGUGAAAUGCGUAGAGAUCGGGAGGAACAUCUGUGGCGAAGGCGACUAUCUGGGCCAACACUGACACUGAGGCACGAAAGCGUGGGGAGCAAACAGGAUUAGAUACCCCUGUAGUCCCUGUCUCUUAUAC